RNAcentral lists this ribosomal RNA (492 nucleotides) under uncultured bacterium. RNAcentral describes it as "partial 16S ribosomal RNA". It matches the Rfam family "Bacterial small subunit ribosomal RNA", at positions 29 to 507 of the family's 1533-position model. The record is from RNAcentral.
AGUGAACGCUGGCGGUAGGCCUAACACAUGCAAGUCGAACGGCAGCACAGUAAGAGCUUGCUCUUACGGGUGGCGAGUGGCGGACGGGUGAGGAAUACAUCGGAAUCUACUUUUUCGUGGGGGAUAACGUAGGGAAAUUUACGCUAAUACCGCAUACGAUCUACGGGUGAAAGCAGGGGAUCUUCGGACCUUGCGCGAUUGAAUGAGCUGUUGUCGGAUUAGCUAGUUGGCGGGGUAAAGGCCCACCAAGGCGAGGAUCCGUAGCUGGUGUGAGAGGAUGAUCCGCCACACUGGAACUGAGACACGGUCCAGACUCCUACGGGAGGCAGCAGUGGGGAAUAUUGGACAAUGGGCGCAAGCCUGAUCCAGCCAUACCGCGUGGGUGAAGAAGGCCUUCGGGUUGUAAAGCCCUUUUGUUGGGAAAGAAAAGCAGCAGGUUAAUACCCCGCUGUUCUGACGGUACCCAAAGAAUAAGCACCGGCUAACUUCGUG